GUAGGCAGAAGCUCAUUGUAGAUGUCACAUGCAGAGUGCUAGUCACUAAUCACAUUGGGGAAGAUCUGAGGUUGGAGCCAAUCACUGCCCUAGCAGGGCAUCACCUGAUCAGGGAGUUAUCGGAACUUCCUAAUUCCGACUGGGAAGUUUCACUUGAAUGACCCUCCAAGACGGAAUUACAAGUGGGAAAUGUUGUUGACGUAACAGAUGUAUAAUCGUACUCUCCGUGC
RNAcentral lists this RNase P RNA (230 nucleotides) under Salmo salar (Atlantic salmon). RNAcentral's name for it is "Nuclear RNase P". It matches the Rfam family "Nuclear RNase P", at positions 1 to 229 of the family's 301-position model. Rfam says of the family: Ribonuclease P (RNase P) is a ubiquitous endoribonuclease, found in archaea, bacteria and eukarya as well as chloroplasts and mitochondria. Its best characterised activity is the generation of mature 5'-ends of tRNAs by cleaving the 5'-leader elements of precursor-tRNAs. Lineage: Eukaryota; Metazoa; Chordata; Actinopteri; Salmoniformes; Salmonidae. The record is from Rfam by way of RNAcentral.